Molecule: ribosomal RNA, 112 nt
Filed under: Diaphorina citri (Asian citrus psyllid)
Lineage: Eukaryota; Metazoa; Arthropoda; Insecta; Hemiptera; Psyllidae
Source: RNAcentral
GUCAGCAGGGAUAGCACGUCGGAUGCACCAGAUAGAUCGCUGAAAAUAAGGAACGUUGUGCGUAGUUAGUAUCCGGAUCGGUGGCCAUUUGGGUAAUCAUGUCCUGCUGGAU